AGCGGCGUGGCGCAGCGGUUAGCGUGUUGGGCCCAUAACCCAAAGGUCGCCCGAUCGAGACGGGCCGCCGCUA
Transfer RNA from Thecamonas trahens ATCC 50062, 73 nucleotides. It matches the Rfam family "tRNA". Rfam says of the family: Transfer RNA (tRNA) molecules are approximately 80 nucleotides in length. Lineage: Eukaryota; Apusomonadida; Apusomonadidae. The record is from Rfam.